CAAUAGCGUAUAUUAAAGUUGUUGCGGUUAAAAAGCUCGUAGUUGGAUUUCUGUUGAGGAUGGCCGGUCCGCUCUAUGAGCGUGUAUCUGGUUCAGCCUUGGCAUCCUCUUGGGGAACGUAGCUACGCUUGAUUGCGCGGUGCGGUAUUCAAGACUUUUACUUUGAGGAAAUUAGAGUGUUCACGGCAGGCAUUCGCCUUGAAUAUAUUAGCAUGGAAUAAUAACAUAGGACCUUGGUUCUAUUUUGUUGGUUUCUAGAGCUGAGGUAAUGAUUAAUAGGGAUAGUUGGGGGCAUUCAUAUUUCAUUGUCAGAGGUGAAAUUCUUGGAUUUAUGAAAGAUGAACUUCUGCGAAAGCAUUUGCCAAGGAUGUUUUCAUUAAUCAAGAACGAAAGUUAGGGGAUCGAAGAUGAUUAGAUACCAU
Molecule: ribosomal RNA, 422 nt
Filed under: uncultured eukaryote
Lineage: Eukaryota
Description: bacterial SSU rRNA
Rfam family: Eukaryotic small subunit ribosomal RNA
Source: RNAcentral